Medicago truncatula (barrel medic) is the source of this 5294-nucleotide RNA transcript. It is a transcript of the gene named cleavage stimulation factor subunit 50, with no coding region annotated. NCBI's taxonomy places the organism in Eukaryota, Viridiplantae, Streptophyta, Magnoliopsida, Fabales, Fabaceae. The transcript has 11 exons. The record is from RefSeq and is a predicted model, not a curated record.
UUUUUUUAAGUGUGAUAGAUUCAUUCACGUUGCCAUAUCAAAUCCUCUAAACACUUGUAUAUUCAGAUGGCUAGCAGCAACAACUCAUCUUCAGCUCUUGUGACUUCUUCAAAGAAAAAUCAUUAUGAUGUGUUUGUCAUCUUUAGAGGUGAAGACACUCGCAACAAUUUCACUGAUUUUCUUUUUGAUGCCCUUCAAACAAAAGGCAUUAUUGUAUUUUUGGAUGACACUAAUCUUCCAAAAGGUGAAUCCAUCGGACCCGAGCUCAUUCGAGCAAUCGAAGGAUCUCAGGUUUUUGUUGCAUUCUUUUCAAGAAACUAUGCUUCCUCAACAUGGUGUUUGCAAGAAUUAGAAAAGAUAUGUGAAUGCAUUAAGGGAUCAGGAAAACAUGUUCUUCCUGUUUUCUAUGAUGUUGAUCCUUCUGAGGUGCGGAAGCAAAGUGAGAUUUAUAGUGAAGCUUUUGUCAAACAUGAACAAAGAUUCCAACAAGACUCUAAGAAGGUGUCAAUAUGGAGGGAAGCUCUAGAGCAAGUGGGGGAUAUCUCUGGUUGGGAUCUACAUGAUAAGCCACUAGCUAGAGAAAUUAAAGAGGUUGUUCAAAAGAUAAUCAAUAUAUUGGAAUGCAAAUAUUCAUGUGUUUCAAAAGAUUUAGUUGAGAUUGAUUCUCCUAUACAAGCAUUACAAAAUCAUUUGCUUUUGAACUCGGUUGAUGGUGUUCGUGCUAUAGGAAUUUGUGGAAUUGGAGGAAUUGGGAAAACAACCCUUGCUACGACUUUAUAUGGCCAAAUCUCUCACCAAUUUAGUGCAUCUUUUUUUAUUGAUGAUGUAACUAAAAUUUACAGACUACAUGAUAAUCCACUCGAUGCACAAAAGAAAAUCCUAUUUCAAACUCUCAGCAUAGAACACAAUAAAAUAUGCGAUUGUUACCAUGCAACUACUUUGAUACAAAGGAGGCUAUGUCAUGAAAGAGCCCUUUUGAUUCAGGUUGUGGUCCCAUAAACAAAUUUGCAAUGUUAUGAAGGAGAAUAUGGAAAAACAUGUUGAAGCCAUAGUUUUGAUUCAUGAAAAGAUGGUGGACUUUGAACACUUGUCAAAAAUGAGUAAUCUUAGAGUGCUCAUCAUCAAUGCAUAUAUCUCAAGAAGCCCAACGAGUCUUUCAAACGCAUUAAGAUUUAUUCAGUGGGAGGCAUAUCCUUGCCAGUAUUUGCCAACAAGUUUUAACUCCAAUGAACUUGUAGAAUUGAUCUUGAAGAAAAGCAGCAUUAAACAACUAUGGAAAAACAAGAAGUAUCUUCCCAAUUUGAGAACAUUGGAUCUAAGUAACUCCAAAGAGCUAGAAAAGAUAACAGAUUUUGGAGUUCCCGAAUCUUGAAAAGCUAAAUUUGAAAGGAUGUGUAAAACUUGUGGAGUUGGAUCCAUCUCUUGGACUUCUAAAAAAGCUUGUUUACUUGAACUUAAAAGAUUACAAAAAUCUAGUAAGCAUACCCAACAACAUAUUUGGUCUUAGCUCUCUUGAAGAUCAAAAUAUGUGCGGUUGUUCCAAAGUGUUUGACUAUCCAACAUAUUGUUUGCGUGUUGUUGCCUUUAGUUUUUGCCAUCUAAGUCAAGUUCCCGAUGCAAUUGAAUGUUUACAUUGGCUAGAAAUAUUAAAUUUAGGGGGAAACGAUUUUGUGACACUACCUAGCCUGAGGAAGCUUUCUAAACUUGUAUAUUUAAAUUUGGAACAUUGCAAGUUGUUGGAAUCUUUGCCUCAACUUCCUUUUCCUACCACUAUUGGGUGGGAACAAGAUGAGAACAACAAAUAUUACCAGAUUAUAGGAGAGGGAACGUUGCAGUAGCAUGACACUUUCAUGGAUGAAACAAUUCAUUCAUUCUGGCAAACCCACCAUCCUACCCUGACUAUUUUCAUAGCAUUCAAAUAGUUACUCCAGGAAGUGAAAUGCUAAGUUGGAUCUCCUAUUAGGCAUGACAAUAACAAUAAUGUCAUUGGUUUUGUAUGUUGUGCAGUAUUUUCCAUGACACCUCAGCAUGGGUAUUUUCCACCGUGGUCCCUUAUGGAACUGACUUUAACUACAGAUUCCAAUAGUAUUUUGAGGAAAAUGAGUGUUCCAGUAAUUCUCAAUGGAGGUCUUAUUACGCCCAAAUCAAGUCACCUGUGGAUAAUCUACUUCCACAGUAGGUCACUCUUGUAUCAUUCUAUGGAUAGAAUGCAUGUUAACAUUUUUAAUGGUAAAGAUUUGGUCGAGGUGAAGAGUUGUGAGUAUCGUUGGGUUUUAAACAAGACCUACAAGAGUUCAACUUCACAAUGAUGAAUCACGAAAAUCUCUUAACUGGGAAAUGCAAGAUUUUGGCAAUUGAAGAUUAGACGCAACCGCAACCGCAACCGCAACUAGAACAAGAAUCAUUCAUCUCACAAGUCAUAAUUACUUCACAGAGAAGAAAGUCAACCGCAAUAACAAUCUCCGCUGUCAACCACAAUCAAAGAAAAAUAUCUCAAACCUCCAUAUCAGCCAAAGAAACAGAAGAAUCCGUGGAGGUACCAGAUUCACCUGUUGCAGAUGAAGUUUCUACUGAAUCUCCACAGAAAAAAUCUCGAACCUCCAUAUCAUUGGUCGAUUCAUUGUUUGUGCUUGUUUGAUUACUUUAGUUUGGUUUCUGAAGAAGAUUUAGAUGUGGUACAAUGUUAAGGACAAAUUUGGUCCCUGACACUCUAAAACUAGUGUAGUGAAGCCGACAACAGCCAAAAAUGGAAAACAGUAGUAGUUGUAGGUCGGAGCAGACAGUUGAAGAUGGGAAACUGUAUAGACAUCUUAAUUCUCUUAUCGUCUCUCAUCUUCGUCACAACAAUCUCACUCAGGCUGCAACUGCUGUUGCUUCAGCAACUAUGACACCAUUCAAUGUACAAGCUCCACCCAACAAGAUUCUUCAAUUGGUUGCUAAUAAGGGUCUUGCAGCGGAAAAGGAUGAUUUGCCAAGAGGGAAUCAUCUUCUCCUUUUCAAGAUUUGGGUGCAUCAUUGCCCUUGCCUCGUCCCGGUGCAACAACCAUUGAUUUCAGAUAUAAAAGUUUCGUCAAAAAGUUUCCCAAGGUGUGCUAGGUUUAGUCCUGAUGGAAGAUUUGUUGCCACUAGAAGUGCAGAUACAUCAAUAAAACUAUUUGAGGUUUCAAAGAUCAAGCAGAUGUUGCUCCCAGAUGCAAAGGAUGGUCCUGUGCGGUCUGUAGUAAAAACAUAUUAUGAAAGCCGGAGCAAAGGUUGCAAUUUCAUCUUAUUUGCUUCAUAUUGUUAAAUGUAAGCUUGAUUCUGAUUGUAAUUUUCAUGUGAUUGUGACAAUCUUGUCAUUCUAAUUUGAUUUUGGAUUGUAAGUUUGUACUGAAUGGAUUAUGACAACAUGUGUUAUUUCAUAAAAAUGCUAGUUCCGUUCAAUUUUUUCCCCCCGGUUUAUCUAUAUUUUUUUAGCUGGUUGUAUGUGGUUAGAAUACUGAUGUAAGUGUGUUACUUUGAGCAAAUAAUGCUGGUGUUAACAGAGUGUUAAGCUAGUUGUUUACUACAGAAGAACAUUUUUUCCUUAAUUAAUAUUCUUCACGGGAGACAUUAUCCUCUGCAUAUAAAGAUUAUUUCCAUAAAUAAUGCAGAAUUCAAUCUUGCAUUGUACUUCAAUUUCUUUUCCCUAAUACUGAUAGCUUUGCAAGGUUCCUUGACUUCACUUUCUUAGGAGCUCUGCAGCUAUUCUUACAGUGUUGGUAUGAAGGCGUAAAUCUAUUUGACGAUCCUUUCAGUGUUGGUAUGAAGGCGUAAAUCUAUUCUUAGGAGCUCUGCAGCUAUUCAUACAUGAUGACAUGCAUCCCAUUAGGAAAUAGUUAGCAAAGGAACCUCAAGGAAUUAUGUUUGGAGAAGUACAAUUGCAGGAAUUAUGUGCCAUCAAAAGUUAUCAUCCUUGCUUCAAGAGUGGCCCUAGUGCGCAAAGAUGAUGGCAGAGAGAAAGCAUGGGUACUCCAAACAUGAAGAAGUAUUGGUACCAGGUACGCGUAUGGUACUCCUAACUUACAUACCGAACUGUACUUAUAUUUACUUAGAUGUUUCAUCUUAGUUGGUGCAACAAACGCAUGGACGGUGGAAAAAUAACCAAAAUUAUUUUGCUUUUAUAUUGUAUUUUAAUUCUCACUCUUGCUUUUAAUAAAAAUAGUAGAGGGGGUGCACAUAAAAGUAAAACUAUAUCAAUGUACUUGAAAAAUACAGGCAACAUGAUGAUAGAAUUAAAAGUAUAGUAAUUUACUUGAAAAAUCUUUUUAUUUUUUUAUAGUGUUUUAUAUCAAUGUACCCGUACCUAUGCAUCAUAGGGCAAAGUUGAAUAUUUCGAAUAUUGUAAAUUAUGUGCUACUAGCAUGGAAACCCGUGCCAAGCACGGGCUAGACUUUCGUCAAAUUUAAUAUAUUGGGUGAAGAUAUGGUAUCAUGCACAUCUGUGUGGUCGCUUUGUGUUCAAUGAGUCAAUCAACACCAGUGUUGGCUCUCCUGUACGGUCCAACGACAAUACCAUAUGCCGAUUCAACUUUGUGGGGGAAACAAUUGUUGUUCUUGGUGGUAGAUUACAUAUGCAGAAAGUCUCAUACUUGAGAUAAAGAGGUCAAUGUGUCAAGUGUUAUUUAAAGUUCCACAUUGAAUGCAAUAGUAAAUGUUGAACAAUAUAUAAGUGAUAUGACUCAUAUAUUAAUGACUUAAGGUUUAAGAUGGAGAUGUGGUUUCAAACUCACUUGUGUGGUUUCUUUUAAUCUAACGUGAUGAUCAAACUCAAUAUAUGAUCCUCCGAAACUCACAACAUUAUGAUGUACUGUUUUUUUAGUUUUUGGAAGUUAUUUGUUUAACUUUGGCUUAAUUACAGUUUUGGUCAUCAUAUUUGCACUCACUCAUAUAAUUUGUCCCUCCAUUUCAAAAUCACAUAGUUUUGGUCCCUCUUUUAGAUUUUAUAAACUUAAAGAUGGUGAUAUGUCAUGUUUAAAUUAAAACUUAAUCAAAGUUUUCAAAUAAUUAUGUUGGUAUUGAUCAUUUUACAUCAUUGGAUUGUAUGUCAUGUUAUUUAAAAUAUGUCCAUCAUUGUUUUUCAGUCUUAAAAUAAGAUAAAGAGAUCAAAACUGAGUGAUCUUAAAAUGAACGGACCAAUUUCACGAUUUACUAAAAAUAAGGGACUAAAACUGCAAUUAAGUCUUUAAUUUUUGAAUUUUAAAUUUUAGUUUUUUGAUGCUAUUCUUUUUUUUGUGAUUUUUUUUCAUUUAACCUCUGUUAUUCUCUUUCUUGAGA